GACGAACGCUGGCGGCGUGCUUAACACAUGCAAGUCGAACGGAAAGGCCCUGCUUUUGUGGGGUGCUCGAGUGGCGAACGGGUGAGUAACACGUGAGUAACCUGCCCUUGACUUUGGGAUAACUUUAGGAAACUGGGGCUAAUACCGGAUAUGAGCUCCUGCUGCAUGGUGGGGGUUGGAAAGUUUCGGCGGUUGGGGAUGGAUUCGCGGGUUAUCAGCUUGUUGGUGGGGUAGUGGCUUACCAAGGCUUUGACGGGUAGCCGGCAUGGGAGGGUGACCGGGCACCUGGGGACUGAGAUACGGACCAGACGGCUACGGGAGGCAGCAGGGGGGAAUAUUGCGCAAUGGGCGGAAGCCUGAUGCAGCAACGCCGCGUGCGGAAUACCGGCUUACGGGUUGUGAACCGCUUUGUCCUGUACCGUAGCGUGAUUGACGGUAAUGAAUCAGAAAGCCCCGGCUAACUACGUG
RNAcentral lists this ribosomal RNA (468 nucleotides) under uncultured bacterium. RNAcentral describes it as "partial 16S ribosomal RNA". It matches the Rfam family "Bacterial small subunit ribosomal RNA", at positions 28 to 507 of the family's 1533-position model. The record is from RNAcentral.